This is a long non-coding RNA of Clupea harengus (Atlantic herring), 284 nucleotides long. Lineage: Eukaryota; Metazoa; Chordata; Actinopteri; Clupeiformes; Clupeidae. The record is from Ensembl.
UUUUAACCGGAGGAAGAAGAUAUCUACCUUUAGCUCAACUCAAUUUGAAAACAUUUAGCUUGGUUAUGUUGGAUAGAAACGUGAGUCUUAUCUUGAGAAACAUGUUCUGAUGUGUGUACACAUCCGUGCUGUAAUUGAUUUAUUCAGAAAAGGUUGUUUCCCCAGGGGACGUAUUGCUACAAAAUGGCGGCAUAGUAAACAGUUGGACAUCUGCAUCAGUCCUCUCUUCUUCAAGUCAACUCAACUCAUCUCGUCAUCUACGAGGAUCUUCUGUUCGUCUCUCC